Molecule: long non-coding RNA, 272 nt
Filed under: Coffea arabica (coffee)
Lineage: Eukaryota; Viridiplantae; Streptophyta; Magnoliopsida; Gentianales; Rubiaceae
Description: long non-coding RNA (CARA_LNC002047)
Source: RNAcentral
ACGAGUUGGUGGUCUUCUUAUUCUGGCCUGGAAUUGUUGGCAGUUUAUCUGGAUCAGCUACUUGGCGGGUGCAAGCCAGUAGAAGAGACAUUAGAGACGUGCCAUCUCCCAGAGAAUGAUGGAUGCGGACGACCGCAACACCUUGAGCAUCAGAUGUUUUGACAUUGAGAACAUGGAGGUCCCAAAGAGGUUUAGACUUGUCAAGACUGGAUUUGCUAAGGUUGUAUACGUAGUCCUCCACAAACUUGUCUGGUGAUCCCAUGUUGCGGUCC